CCUACGGGUGGCAGCAGUGGGGAAUAUUGGGCAAUGGGCGCAAGCCUGACCCAGCAACGCCGCGUGAAGGAAGAAGGCUUUCGGGUUGUAAACUUCUUUUCUGCGGGACGCAGAGAGUGACGGUACCUCAGGAAUAAGCCACGGCUAACUACGUGCCAGCAGCCGCGGUAAUACGUAGGUGGCCAGCGUUAUCCGGAUUUAUUGGGUGUAAAGGGCGUGUAGGGGGGAAAGUAAGUCAGAUGUGAAAACUCAGGGCUCAACCCUGGGCCUGCAUUUGAAACUGUUUGUCUUGAGUGCUGGAGAGGCAAUCGGAAUUCGGUGUGUAGCGGUGAAAUGCGUAGAUAUACGGAGGAACACCAGUGGCGAAGGCGGAUUGCUGGACAGUAACUGACGCUGAGGCGCGAAAGCGUGGGUAGCAAACAGGAUUAGAUACCCUGGUAGUC
This 443-nucleotide ribosomal RNA is filed under the name uncultured bacterium. RNAcentral describes it as "partial 16S ribosomal RNA". It matches the Rfam family "Bacterial small subunit ribosomal RNA", at positions 338 to 795 of the family's 1533-position model. The record is from RNAcentral.